CUCUUGCCCUGAAGACCCUCUGGCUCCUCAUCCUCAAUGGCCACAGGGCAUCCGUCUGCUCUGCCAGCUCCGAGCGCCCUCAGACCAUAAUGGUGCAGGGGAAGAAGAGUGAUUAAGUACCAUGGAUUGUCAACAGAGCACACACAUCUGUCUUGGCAGAGGUGCGGCCAGAAUGCUCUGUAGAGAGCACUGCCAGAUCCAUUCCUGUGUCUUUAAUCGCUUGUAGGAUUCAUCUGCAAGUAUUACCGCUUAUCACUGUUUUAAAUCAGAAAUACAGUGAACCCUCGCCACUUCGCGCUUCGACUUCCGG
Molecule: long non-coding RNA, 310 nt
Organism: Echinops telfairi (small Madagascar hedgehog)
Lineage: Eukaryota; Metazoa; Chordata; Mammalia; Afrosoricida; Tenrecidae
Exons: 3
Source: RefSeq, a predicted model, not a curated record